GAAGUCUAUAAUUUGUUGAUUAUGCUCAAGCUAAAAAAGGAAAAUGACAGCAAUUAACAUCAUAUCAGUGGGAGUUAACUGUCCAGAACUAACACUGCCAAAGGCAAGCUGGUAGACAGCAGGGACGGGGAAGCCAACAGCUCUACAUCUUUGGGGUAUAUGGAGUACAGCUGGGGAGAAUCAUAAUGGUGAAACAACACAAGAAGGAAGAAGAACUAGGAAUGUUGAAAUGAGGCUGAAAGUGAACAAGAAGGCAUCUAGACUACAAAACCUGUGGAGAGAACACUACUCACUCCUCUCCACCUACCCAAGCUGCUGUGGCCUUGUCUGAAUGCUGCGAAUUCCCAGUCCACUGCAGCGUAUCCACAUGGAAACACCACAGAUGCCAGCAUUCACAAAGGUGCAGAAACAAGGAAAGUGAUAGGAUGAAGAUGUCAGUUGUGGCAAAUAGAACUCUGCCUCUCUGUCACUUCAUUGGAACAUCUCUGUCUGUGAUUGUUGUUAGGCGCUACUCACACUGUCUAAAAAAUGUCAAGAAAAACAGAUAGGGCUUAUCCCAAAGAGUUCAGCUGUAGGCAAAUACACAAUCAUACAAUUUGAAAAGACGGAUGUUGAAGACAUGAUGCAUAGGAGGUCCUAAAUCCAGCAUAAAGAAAGCAUAUAAAGCAUUACCUCACAGCAUGUGAUUUGUUUUUGUCCCCCCAUCGAUUGUUCACUGACCUACGGCCUUGAGAUAUCAAAUCCUCUCCACAUCCAAUUGAAUUCCUAGCAGAGAGGAGACGGGGAGUUUGGAAGUGACUAAAGCGUUUUAGUAGUUGGAAGGUGAUUAGGAGAAGGCUAGAGAUGUUGAUAGGCGAGCUGCUCUCUGGUUGUUUUCUCUUGGUCCUCUGGGGCCGGAGAGAAGGAUCAGGGGGUGAGAAGUCAAAGGGAGGACAAGGUGACUGAUUGGGCCCAGGCAGCAGGUCAGCACUGGGCAGCUGAAUCAAACUCAAGUCAAGGAUUUUCCCCCCAACUACUAUCAGACAUAUAAUCUGGCUCUGUCAACACUUCUGUCCAGCUGGAUGCAGUACACUUAUUAUUUACACAUGUGCACAUGAAGAGGGACAUACACAGUCACAGAAGUACACUCUCACACACUCUCACAUAUGGAGGCCAUAUUAGUAGUCGUGGAAAAUGAACAAUAAACCUAGGCAAUCAACGGCUCAUUUGAAAAUGAAAGGGUACAAAUCUGUAUUAGUUGAAGUACAAUGCCAGUUGUAUAACCCUGACAAUUCUAGCAAAUGAAAUCAUUUGCACAGGGACAAAAUUAUAAUUGAACACCACCUCUAACAUUUGAAAUAUGACAGGUGAUUAAUUUUUUUUGCUUUUAAUAAACUAUGCUCCUCUAACAUCAACUAAGCACGGUGAUAAUCAAAAUGAAAACCCAUGGGGAAUACGAACUACCAUCAAUUAAAGUGGACUCCCACAAAUAGACCAAUUCCACUAUGGACUUUACAAAAAAAUAAUUAUAUUCCACAUGAUUAUGUAAAAUACAUUAGCCAGACAAUUAGGCGACUAUAAUUGCAUCUAAAUUACACAUUGAUUGAAGAAAGAAAUGAAUCCACAAAUCUGGAGAGGUUUGAUUGGUCCCUUUCUAAGAAACCUCAGAUACACGAUUCUUCCUUUUAAUAAUCCUUUAGCCAUUUUAUUCACUGGAUUGUCAUUACAAAAUUCAAUUACAUGGAACACCUGAACUAACAAUAUCUCCUAGCCAAUUAUGCAGUGUCUGGGAAACCGUACGCAAACAAAUUACCAACGUUAAUGUGAGAGAUUGACUUGAUAUUCUUGGCGUUGUAUGCACAGUUUGCACACAAAGGCAGCCCAGCCUCACACCUCCCCUGUUAUUGCCUAUUGUUGACUUAUGAAUGAAACAGCUUGGCCUCGAUUUGAGAAUAAAAUGGAAAUCUAGUCUGUGAGGCUGUUCUGUAGAAAUAGAUUAGUAAUUCUAUAGAAUAGUUUUUCCAUUUCUAUGGGCCGAACAAGGAAGAGACAGCCACAAUUUCAGUUUAACCUUCUCUUUCUCCUCCUAUACUCUCUCAUCUCUCUUUACCAUUUCAGCCUGACUUUAAAAUAUUUAACAAUGAAAAGUAAUCAUAAGAGAUCUUGGCAGUACUAUAGCCCUGAGUAUUGAUUGGGCAGUGGCCCAACAUCCCCUCACUAAAGAAAGAUUAAAAUAACAGACUCAUCAAAUACAUUUAUGGAGUCAGUGACCUCAGCCAAUCCUGGAGUGGGGAGUCCAUAAAUCAUAGUCCAUCUCUGUUACACACAGUGAGUCUGUCUCAGGCUCAGUACAGGGAGUCCUGUAGAGGAUGGGAGACACUACCGUUACAGUACAUAAAUCUACAGCAACCCCAUGUGGCAAUGUUAGGGGGAAUUAAGGAUCCACUAGCUACAUGAUGGGUGUGGGACGACGAGAUGUCAUUACAUAUUAAGACCAAAUGUAAAUACUGGAAUACAGGUGGGUGUGGGACGACGAGAUGUCAUUACAUAUUAAGACCAAAUGUAAAUACUGGAAUACAGGUUUUUAAAAGGUAUUGUGAAGCAUACAUGGUACACAACACAUUUGUGUCCCAUCGCCUGGAAAUGUGUGUUUGCAUGGGUCUGUGUGUGGAUACGUACUUGAAUGUGUGUGUGCAUUUGCGUGUGUGUGAAACACAGAGAGAGAGAUGUAUGUGUUCAGUCACAGCUCUGGCUGUCCCUCUUUUUCAAACCAAAGCACCACCUGUCAACAUAUUUUCAUUACAUUUUCCCAUACUCCAAGACCUAGCCUAUCCACCUGUGGUGGAUGGAGCUCCGUCGCUCCCCCCAUCAGAUUGAGGCGCUCUCAAUGCUGGGAAAGACGUUCCUAUCUCUCUGAUCCUGCUCUCUACGCCUGACUCCAGCCUGUGAGGCGAGGAAAGGAAAGGCGGAAGAGGCCAGGCAGAAAGGAAGGGAAUCUUGGUUUGCUAUCAACAGCUCAGGAGAGUAGCGUUGGCAGCAAGAUUGAUGACACCCUCCCCGCAAAGUAACAAAGGAACUCCUGCGCAUAAGAGCCUGCUUAUGGGGUCUGAUAGACUUGUCAUCCUCUUAAUAAACAUAGCAGAUAUGUCAGCAGCAGCAGGAGGGACUGAACCAGACCCAGCAGACCCACCCACCCACAGGCAGGACCACCGGCUAGCCUGGCACACCCGGUCCUGGGCAGCUCGUUCCAUAAGGUGGCCCCUGGAGGAACUGGAGGGUCGCGCCAGAAGAUGAUCAAAACAUAAACAGACAGGAUAUGAAGUAUAAAUCAAUAUUUCACAGACAAUAAAACCUAUACCGGUCUGUUGUCAGAAUGGUUUUGCCUGGCAAUUGUUCAAUGCAACCAAGCUAAGGCGGUAGUUCCAGUAUGCUACAGUCGGUAUCUCUGCUGAGAUGGGGAUGUUAUUAAUGUUGGAACUAGGGCCAAAGCGUUUGGUGGAGAAUAUUUAUUUCAGGGUUGGUGUGGUUGUAAGAGGUUUGGUUUGAUGAUAUGCUUUGUGAAAACAGCACAAACACUCACAAGAAUAAACAUUUACAAAACCU
Long non-coding RNA from Oncorhynchus tshawytscha (Chinook salmon), 3582 nucleotides. RefSeq lists it as uncharacterized. The record is from RefSeq and is a predicted model, not a curated record. The transcript is spliced from 4 exons. Lineage: Eukaryota; Metazoa; Chordata; Actinopteri; Salmoniformes; Salmonidae.